Molecule: ribosomal RNA, 509 nt
Filed under: uncultured bacterium
Lineage: Bacteria
Description: partial 16S ribosomal RNA
Rfam family: Bacterial small subunit ribosomal RNA
Source: RNAcentral
GACGAACGCUGGCGGCGUGCUUACACAUGCAAGUCGAACGAAGAGCGAUGGAAGCUUGCUUCUAUCAAUCUUAGUGGCGAACGGGUGAGUAACGCGUAAUCAACCUGCCCUUCAGAGGGGGACAACAGUUGGAAACGACUGCUAAUACCGCAUACGAUCUAAUCUCGGCAUCGAGGAUAGAUGAAAGGUGGCCUCUACAUGUAAGCUAUCACUGAAGGAGGGGAUUGCGUCUGAUUAGCUAGUUGGAGGGGUAACGGCCCACCAAGGCGAUGAUCAGUAGCCGGUCUGAGAGGAUGAACGGCCACAUUGGGACUGAGACACGGCCCAGACUCCUACGGGAGGCAGCAGUGGGGAAUCUUCCGCAAUGGACGAAAGUCUGACGGAGCAACGCCGCGUGAGUGAUGACGGCCUUCGGGUUGUAAAGCUCUGUUAGUCGGGACGAAAGGCCUUCUUGCGAAUAGUGAGAAGGAUUGACGGUACCGGAAUAGAAAGCCACGGCUAACUACGUG